GUGCUCGCUUCAGCAUCACAUAUACUAACAUGGGAGUGAUACAGAGAAGAUUAACAUGUGCGAGGAUGACAUGUAAGUUUGUGAAGUGUUCCAUAUUUUU
Molecule: small nuclear RNA, 100 nt
Organism: Myotis lucifugus (little brown bat)
Lineage: Eukaryota; Metazoa; Chordata; Mammalia; Chiroptera; Vespertilionidae
Source: Ensembl